AACGAACGCUGGCGGCAUGCCUAACACAUGCAAGUCGAACGCGACCUUCGGGUCUAGUGGCGCACGGGUGCGUAACGCGUGGGAAUCUGCCCUUGGGUUCGGAAUAACAGUUAGAAAUGACUGCUAAUACCGGAUGAUGUCUUCGGACCAAAGAUUUAUCGCCCAGGGAUGAGCCCGCGUAGGAUUAGCUUGUUGGUGGGGUAAAGGCCUACCAAGGCGACGAUCCUUAGCUGGUCUGAGAGGAUGAUCAGCCACACUGGGACUGAGACACGGCCCAGACUCCUACGGGAGGCAGCAGUGGGGAAUAUUGGACAAUGGGCGAAAGCCUGAUACAGCAAUGCCGCGUGAGUGAUGAAGGCCUUAGGGUUGUAAAGCUCUUUUACCCGGGAUGAUAAUGACAGUACCGGGAGAAUAAGCCCCGGCUAACUCCGUG
This 433-nucleotide ribosomal RNA is filed under the name uncultured bacterium. RNAcentral's name for it is "partial 16S ribosomal RNA". It matches the Rfam family "Bacterial small subunit ribosomal RNA", at positions 29 to 507 of the family's 1533-position model. The record is from RNAcentral.